GACGAACGCUGGCGGCGUGCUUAACACAUGCAAGUCGAACGCUGAAGCACCAGCUUGCUGGUGUGGAUGAGUGGCGAACGGGUGAGUAAUACGUGAGUAACCUGCCCUUGACUCUGGGAUAAGCCCGGGAAACUGGGUCUAAUACUGGAUGCUACAUGUCACCGCAUGGUGGUGUGUGGAAAGGGUUUACUGGUCUUGGAUGGGCUCACGGCCUAUCAGCUUGUUGGUGAGGUAAUGGGUCACCAAGGCGACGACGGGUAGCCGGCCUGGGGGGGUGACCGGCCACACUGGGACUGGGACACGGCCCAGAAUCCUACGGGGGGCAGCAGUGGGGAAUAUUGCACAAUGGGCGAGAGCCUGAUGCAGCGACGCCGCGUGGGGGAUGACGGCCUUCGGGUUGUAAACCUCUUUCAGCAGGGAAGAAGCCACAAGUGACGGUACCUGCAGAAGAAGCGCCGGCUAACUACGUG
Molecule: ribosomal RNA, 470 nt
Filed under: uncultured bacterium
Lineage: Bacteria
Description: partial 16S ribosomal RNA
Rfam family: Bacterial small subunit ribosomal RNA
Source: RNAcentral